This 378-nucleotide ribosomal RNA is filed under the name uncultured eukaryote. RNAcentral describes it as "partial 18S ribosomal RNA". It matches the Rfam family "Eukaryotic small subunit ribosomal RNA", at positions 592 to 976 of the family's 1831-position model. The record is from RNAcentral.
CAAUAGCGUAUAUUUAAGUUGUUGCAGUUAAAAAGCUCGUAGUUGGAUUUCGGGUGGGACGCAGCGGUCUCGCAUUGCGUUUGUACUGCUGCAGCCCUCCUUCUUGCCGGGGGCGGCCUCUCGGACUUCACUGUCUGGGGGUCAGAAUCGGCGAUGUUACUUUGAGUAAAUUAGAGUGUUCAAAGCAAGCUUACGCUCUGAAUAUAAUAGCAUGGGAUAACACGACAGGACUCUGGCCUAUCGUGUUGGUCUAUAGGACCAGAGUAAUGAUUAAGAGGGACAGUCGGGGGCAUUCGCAUUCCGUUGUCAGAGGUGAAAUUCUUGGAUUUACGGAAGACGAACAUCUGCGAAAGCAUUUGCCAAGGAUGUUUUCAUUGA